This 494-nucleotide ribosomal RNA is filed under the name uncultured Flavobacteriaceae bacterium. RNAcentral describes it as "bacterial SSU rRNA". It matches the Rfam family "Bacterial small subunit ribosomal RNA", at positions 557 to 1050 of the family's 1533-position model. Lineage: Bacteria; Pseudomonadati; Bacteroidota; Flavobacteriia; Flavobacteriales; Flavobacteriaceae. The record is from RNAcentral.
GGUUUAAAGGGUCCGCAGGCUGUUUGUUAAGUCAGAGGUGAAAUCCUACCGCUCAACGGUAGAACUGCCUUUGAUACUGGCAAACUUGAGUUAUUGUGAAGUAGUUAGAAUGUGUAGUGUAGCGGUGAAAUGCAUAGAUAUUACACAGAAUACCGAUUGCGAAAGCAGAUUACUAACAAUAUACUGACGCUGAGGGACGAAAGCGUGGGUAGCGAACAGGAUUAGAUACCCUGGUAGUCCACGCCGUAAACGAUGGUCACUAGCUGUUUGAUGUACAUUGGUACAUUGAGUGGCUAAGCGAAAGUGAUAAGUGACCCACCUGGGGAGUACGCUCGCAAGAGUGAAACUCAAAUGAAUUGACGGGGGCCCGCACAAGCGGUGGAGCAUGUGGUUUAAUUCGAUGAUACGCGAGGAACCUUACCAGGGCUUAAAUGUAGAUUGCAUUAGCUAGAGAUAGCUAUUUCUUCGGACUAUCUACAAGGUGCUGCAUGGUU